GCAAAACCGAUGAAGGAACAAAGAUUCUGAAGGUCUUCAGAGAGCCGGUGGUUGGUGCAAACCGGUGGCGGACAGUGUUCUUUAGCGCUCCUGAGAUAUUGUAUCGAACGAACAGUAGAUGCAAUCGGAUCAACUCCGUUAUCAGUGUGGCCUUUUGACGGCCAAUGAGGCUGCUUCUGAACAGUUGCAGUGAAUUAGGGUGGUACCACGACAACUCUCGUCCCUUAC
This 228-nucleotide non-coding RNA is filed under the name Paenibacillus sp. RNAcentral's name for it is "T-box sequence". It matches the Rfam family "T-box leader". Rfam says of the family: Uncharged tRNA acts as the effector for transcription antitermination of genes in the T-box leader family. T-boxes are found upstream of many aminoacyl-tRNA synthetase genes and some amino acid biosynthetic genes usually in Gram-positive bacteria. Lineage: Bacteria; Bacillati; Bacillota; Bacilli; Caryophanales; Paenibacillaceae. The record is from RNAcentral.